GACGAACGCUGGCGGCGUGCUUAACACAUGCAAGUCGAACGAUGAAGCCCAGCUUGCUGGGUGGAGUAGUGGCGAACGGGUGAGUAACACGUGGGCAACCUGCCCCAAACUCUGGGAUAACUCCUCGAAAGAGGUGCUAAUACCGGAUACGAACUAGACAGACAUGUGUACUAGUUGGAAAGUUUUUCGGUUUGGGAUGGGCCAGCGGCCUAUCAGCUUGUUGGUGAGGGAAUGGCCCACCAAGGCUACGACGGGUAACCGGCCUGAGAGGGCGACCGGUCACACUGGGACUGAGACACGGCCCAGACUCCUACGGGAGGCAGCAGUGGGGAAUAUUGCGCAAUGGGCGAAAGCCUGACGCAGCGACGCCGCGUGAGGGAUGAAGGUCUUCGGAUCGUAAACCUCUUUCAGUAGGGACGAAGCGAAAGUGACGGUACCUAAAGAAGAAGCACCGGCUAACUACGUGCCAGCAGCCGCCGUAA
This 482-nucleotide ribosomal RNA is filed under the name uncultured bacterium. Its description in RNAcentral is "partial 16S ribosomal RNA". It matches the Rfam family "Bacterial small subunit ribosomal RNA", at positions 28 to 523 of the family's 1533-position model. The record is from RNAcentral.